UUAAUUGAUUUAUUUUGAUUACACCGGUGUCAUUUUAUAAUCGAUUUAUUAUGGCGGACGAUAGUCGCCAUAUUGUAAUAAGACGGAAAUGUCUAGCAAGUGCUAUAAAUACAUACUAUUUUUAUGCAUUUUUUCUUUCUUUUAAUCCAUAAUUUUAUUAGACUAAAACCUGAACUUUAAACGGGUUCAACAAGUUAUUCAUUAUCUCAUGCAUUGUUUAUGUAUUUCAGGAAAUUACGAUCACUAUUUUUUUUUACUGUUUGUGGUUAAAAUGUUUGCGUUUUGUCCUUUCACAUGCAUAUAUUUUGCUCGAUAAAUUGGCACGGUGACCAUUAUGAUAAGGAGCCGAUGAUCUUCCCGUUACUUUACUUAAGUGGAAUGAUUUAAACACUUGUCAGAAUGUGGCAACGUGUAACGGAAAAACAUGUUGGAGUUCAAUGCGAAAUGGUUUAACAGAAAACAAUAAUUAUAGAGAAAAGUAAUGUAAAAGUUCUAACUACACAAUAAUAGCAAACGUCUCAUAAGUGGUACAGCUUUAUAAGAAUUCAUGAAAAUAGAAUUUAGGUGUACCUACAUUAAACACGAUAAUAUAUUAGAAAAAUCACUCACUACAC
Molecule: long non-coding RNA, 614 nt
Organism: Agrilus planipennis (emerald ash borer)
Lineage: Eukaryota; Metazoa; Arthropoda; Insecta; Coleoptera; Buprestidae
Exons: 3
Source: RefSeq, a predicted model, not a curated record